AAAGCUCGUAGUCGAAUCUGUGUCCCGCGCCGCCGGUUCAUCGUCCGCGGUGUUAACUGGCGUGUCGCGGGACGUCCUGCCGGUGGGCUUAGCUCGCGAGAGGGCCCAACUCAAUCCCGCCGCGGUGCUCUUCACUGAGUGUCGAGGUGGGCCGGCACGUUUACUUUGAACAAAUUAGAGUGCUUAAAGCAGGCUAAAACUUCGCCUGAAUACUGUGUGCAUGGAAUAAUGGAAUAGGACCUCGGUUCUAUUUUGUUGGUUUUCGGAACCCCGAGGUAAUGAUUAAUAGGAACGGAUGGGGGCAUUCGUAUUGCGACGUUAGAGGUGAAAUUCUUGGAUCGUCGCAAGACGGACAGAAGCGAAAGCAUUUGCCAAAAACGCUUUCAUUGAUCAAGAACGAAAGUUAGAGGUUCGAAGGCGAUCAGAUACCGCCCUAGUUCUAACCAUAAACGAUGCCAGCUAGCGAUCCGCCGACGUUCCUCCGAUGACUCGGCGGGCAGCUUCCGGGAAACCAAAGCUUUUGGGUUCCGGGGGAAGUAUGGUUGCAAAGCUGAAACU
This 558-nucleotide ribosomal RNA is filed under the name Thranius variegatus. RNAcentral describes it as "SSU rRNA". It matches the Rfam family "Eukaryotic small subunit ribosomal RNA", at positions 623 to 1144 of the family's 1831-position model. The record is from RNAcentral. Lineage: Eukaryota; Metazoa; Arthropoda; Insecta; Coleoptera; Cerambycidae.